This 1313-nucleotide long non-coding RNA is filed under the name Sus scrofa (pig). Its description in RNAcentral is "lncRNA (ENSSSCG00040031371.1)". The record is from RNAcentral. Lineage: Eukaryota; Metazoa; Chordata; Mammalia; Artiodactyla; Suidae.
UAAAGUCCUGAACACAAGGUUUUAUACACAGGAUCCUGUUCAGUAAAGUUUAUGCAAACUAAAGACAGCACAGCACGACUUGAGGAACAAAGGUGAAGUUUCCGCGCAGAUGUCUGAGUACUGGGAAUCAUUCUCCUUUAACCUUCCCAUCAAACUCCUGGCUGGGGGUGAGUGGAAAAUUCUAAAGAGCACCUGCUCCCCUGUGAGCAUUAGACUAAUCCACUAUGAAGCCUCCAGAACGUUUGUGGAUGUGAGGAUUAAAGGAGACAGAAGAGCCCCAGCUUCAGGGAAGGCGCAAGUUCACAGGAUGUGAUACAACACUUGUCAUUCAUCGGGCCUGAAAAAAACCAAGAACAAGGAAACAUGGAGGAGGCAUGUCAAUAGUUGAUCAAAUCACCGAAGGGCAAUUCUUAAGUCCCUUUUCAUCACAAAAGCUUUAAAAAUACUGAUGUGAUUUUAAUGACAAUGCUGCUUCUGUAGAACCUGGGUGCAAUCAAGUCAUCUUAAUUCUUCUCGUGGAAGUUGGUAAAGAGCUGGGCCACCUAGAACCUAGCAGAGAGGAGGCGAGGUUUAAUGAAGGACCUUGAUUCCUUGGCCAAAAAAAUUACUACUGGUUCCACAGGCUAUGGAAGACAUUUGAUAUUUUACAUAGGAAGGUGAUAGGAUCAAAAUUUCCCUUUAGUGAAUCUGGCAGUGCAGUUUAGAUGGAAGUGGGAAAGAGUGACCACUGGAAACAAGGUCAAAAGUCAUAACCAUAUGCCAAGGGAGAGAUGAUGGCUGGUACCUUGGAGGAGAGAGGAAACUACAGAUACAAGUCACUGACUAGGUGUGAAGAGAAAGAAGAAUCAAAGAAAACCUUGACAUGACAGAUCAGCAGAAGAUGAGUGUUCAGGGGGCUAGCAGACCCUUCAGAGGUACUGUCCACAGGCAGAAGGAAAUUCUGGUGUUUUGACAAAUGCUGCGGGUAAAGAUUUGGGUCUGGGAGAAACCAUGAGAGUGAAUGAAGUCGCCAAAGGAGAGAAUAAUAUCUGAAAAUCAAAUUUAAAAUACAUGUCUCCCCUGGUUCCUCACAGAUUUCCAAACAAAAAGACAAAUAUGUUACAACUAGAUUCUGAAGUAAAGGACCAAUGCUUUACUUCAGAAUUGGUCCUAUGAUUUAUUAAUGAAAAUGAUAGCCACUGAACUCAUGGCAGAAGCUGGGGGGAGAAGAGCUGGAGAGAGAGAGAGAAAGAGGCCUGAAAACAGUCUUUAGCAACAACUUUUGCUGGAGUUAUUAUUAAAUUCUCAGACUUCCAUCACAUAGAGAACUAAAA